CAGUAGCCACGGUAAUACGUAGGUGGCAAGCGUUGUCCGGAAUUAUUGGGCGUAAAGGGCUCGCAGGCGGUUUCUUAAGUCUGAUGUGAAAGCCCCCGGCUCAACCGGGGAGGGUCAUUGGAAACUGGGAAACUUGAGUGCAGAAGAGGAGAGUGGAAUUCCACGUGUAGCGGUGAAAUGCGUAGAGAUGUGGAGGAACACCAGUGGCGAAGGCGACUCUCUGGUCUGUAACUGACGCUGAGGAGCGAAAGCGUGGGGAGCGAACAGGAUUAGAUACCCCCGUAGUCCCUGUCUCUUAUAU
RNAcentral lists this ribosomal RNA (301 nucleotides) under uncultured bacterium. RNAcentral describes it as "partial 16S ribosomal RNA". It matches the Rfam family "Bacterial small subunit ribosomal RNA", at positions 509 to 809 of the family's 1533-position model. The record is from RNAcentral.